RNAcentral lists this ribosomal RNA (492 nucleotides) under uncultured bacterium. Its description in RNAcentral is "partial 16S ribosomal RNA". It matches the Rfam family "Bacterial small subunit ribosomal RNA", at positions 29 to 507 of the family's 1533-position model. The record is from RNAcentral.
AGUGAACGCUGGCGGUAGGCCUAACACAUGCAAGUCGAACGGCAGCACAGUAAGAGCUUGCUCUUACGGGUGGCGAGUGGCGGACGGGUGAGGAAUACAUCGGAAUCUACUUUUUCGUGGGGGAUAACGUAGGGAAACUUACGCUAAUACCGCAUACGACCUACGGGUGAAAGCAGGGGAUCUUCGGACCUUGCGCGAUUGAAUGAGCCGAUGUCGGAUUAGCUAGUUGGCGGGGUAAAGGCCCACCAAGGCGACGAUCCGUAGCCGGUCUGAGAGGAUGAUCAGCCACACUGGAACUGAGACACGGUCCAGACUCCUACGGGAGGCAGCAGUGGGGAAUAUUGGACAAUGGGCGCAAGCCUGAUCCAGCCAUACCGCGUGGGUGAAGAAGGCCUUCGGGUUGUAAAGCCCUUUUGUUGGGAAAGAAAAGCGGCAGGUUAAUACCCCGCUGUUCUGACGGUACCCAAAGAAUAAGCACCGGCUAACUUCGUG